Paramuricea clavata is the source of this 204-nucleotide non-coding RNA. NCBI's taxonomy places the organism in Eukaryota, Metazoa, Cnidaria, Anthozoa, Malacalcyonacea, Plexauridae. The record is from the annotation of a GenBank genome assembly.
AUAUCAACAAGAUUGUUACAAAUUGUUAACAGCUUGUUCCAAACUUGUUGACAACUUGGGACAAGCAGUGCGAACACAACUUGUUGGCAGACUUGCUACAAGAUGUGAGAUUUUUACGCGUGUAGUCGAAAGCUUACUAAGGGCUCCUCUGGCAGCCACCUUAUGACUAAUGUCUGAUCACGGAGCACAGCUACGGCGGAAGGG